Molecule: ribosomal RNA, 497 nt
Filed under: uncultured bacterium
Lineage: Bacteria
Description: partial 16S ribosomal RNA
Rfam family: Bacterial small subunit ribosomal RNA
Source: RNAcentral
GAUGAACGCUGGCGGCGUGCCUAAUACAUGCAAGUCGAGCGAACGGACGAGAAUCUUGCUUCUCUGAUGUUAGCGGCGGACGGGUGAGUAACACGUGGAUAACCUACCUAUAAGACUGGGAUAACUUCGGGAAACCGGAGCUAAUACCGGAUAAUAUUUUGAACCGCAUGGUUCAAAAGUGAAAGACGGUCUUGCUGUCACUUAUAGAUGGAUCCGCGCUGCAUUAGCUAGUUGGUAAGGUAACGGCUUACCAAGGCAACGAUGCCUAGCCGACCUGAGAGGGUGAUCGGCCACACUGGAACUGAGACACGGUCCAGACUCCUACGGGAGGCAGCAGUAGGGAAUCUUCCGCAAUGGGCGAAAGCCUGACGGAGCAACGCCGCGUGAGUGAUGAAGGUCUUCGGAUCGUAAAACUCUGUUAUUAGGGAAGAACAUAUGUGUAAGUAACUGUGCACAUCUUGACGGUACCUAAUCAGAAAGCCACGGCUAACUACGUG